CAACUCUCAUCAACAGAUAUCUUGGCUCUUGCAACUAUGAAGAACGCAUCGAAAUGCGAUACCUAGUGUGAAUUGCAGAAUUCCGCGAAUCAUCAAGUCUUUGAACGCAAGUUGCGCCCGAGGCUUGUCCCAAGGGCAUGCCUGCCUGAGCGUC
Molecule: ribosomal RNA, 154 nt
Filed under: Hygrobiella laxifolia
Lineage: Eukaryota; Viridiplantae; Streptophyta; Jungermanniopsida; Jungermanniales; Hygrobiellaceae
Description: 5.8S ribosomal RNA
Rfam family: 5.8S ribosomal RNA
About the family: 5.8S ribosomal RNA (5.8S rRNA) is a component of the large subunit of the eukaryotic ribosome.
Source: RNAcentral